GCAGCGGUGGCGGAACUGGCAGACGCACCAGCUUGAGGGGCUGGCGCCCGCAAGGGUGUGGUGGUUCAAAUCCACUCCGCUGCA
Molecule: non-coding RNA, 84 nt
Organism: Candidatus Hydrogenedentes bacterium CG1_02_42_14
Lineage: Bacteria; Pseudomonadati; Candidatus Hydrogenedentota
Source: Rfam